Molecule: ribosomal RNA, 484 nt
Filed under: uncultured bacterium
Lineage: Bacteria
Description: partial 16S ribosomal RNA
Rfam family: Bacterial small subunit ribosomal RNA
Source: RNAcentral
AGUGAACGCUGGCGGCGUGCUUAACACGUGCAAGUCGAACGAGAACGGGUUAUAACUUGUUAUAACUGUCAGCUAAGUGGCGCACGGGUGAGUAAUGUAUAGGUAAUAUGCCUCUUACUAAGGGAUAACAAAUGGAAACGUUUGCUAAUACCUUAUACUCCUUAUUAACCUAAGUUAAUAAGGGAAAGAUUUAUUGGUAAGAGAUUAGCCUGUAUUGUAUCAGUUAGUUGGUGGGGUAAUGGCUUACCAAGACUAUGACACAUAACUGGUUUGAGAGGAUGAUCAGUCACACUGGAACUGAGACACGGUCCAGACUCCUACGGGAGGCAGCAGUGGGGAAUAUUGCACAAUGGACGGAAGUCUGAUGCGGCAACGCCGCGUGGAGGAUGACACAUUUCGGUGCGUAAACUCCUUUUAUAUGAGAAGAUAAUGACGGUAUUAUAUGAAUAAGCACCGGCUAACUCCGUGCCAGCCGCCGCAGUAA